CUCAAUUAUCAGUGCAACUGCUCUUUUCUUGAGAUAUACAAUGAACAGGUCACAGAUCUGUUGGAUCCGAGUCAAAGGAACCUUCAGAUUAGAGAAGAUGUCAAAUCAGGUGUGUAUGUUGAGAAUCUUACAGAGAAUCAAGUGUCUACAAUGGAGGAU
Long non-coding RNA from Lathyrus oleraceus (garden pea), 159 nucleotides. RefSeq lists it as uncharacterized. The transcript is spliced from 3 exons. The record is from RefSeq and is a predicted model, not a curated record. Lineage: Eukaryota; Viridiplantae; Streptophyta; Magnoliopsida; Fabales; Fabaceae.